This 71-nucleotide transfer RNA is filed under the name Stegodyphus mimosarum. It matches the Rfam family "tRNA". From Rfam's summary of the family: Transfer RNA (tRNA) molecules are approximately 80 nucleotides in length. The record is from Rfam by way of RNAcentral. Lineage: Eukaryota; Metazoa; Arthropoda; Arachnida; Araneae; Eresidae.
GCCUUCGUGGUGUAACGGUAGUACACUCGGCGAGUAUUCGAGAGGUCCAGGUUCGAAUCCCGGCGAGGGCA